AGAGUUUGAUCCUGGCUCAGGACGAACGCUGGCGGCGUGCCUAAUACAUGCAAGUCGAGCGAGCUGAAUUCAAAGAUUCCUUCGGGAUGAAUUGUUGGACGCUAGCGGCGGAUGGGUGAGUAACACGUGGGCAAUCUGCCCUAAAGACUGGGAUACCACUUGGAAACAGGUGCUAAUACCGGAUAACAACAUGAAUCGCAUGAUUCAAGUUUGAAAGGCGGCGCAAGCUGUCACUUUAGGAUGAGCCCGCGGCGCAUUAGCUAGUUGGUGGGGUAAAGGCCUACCAAGGCAAUGAUGCGUAGCCGAGUUGAGAGACUGAUCGGCCACAUUGGGACUGAGACACGGCCCAAACUCCUACGGGAGGCAGCAGUAGGGAAUCUUCCACAAUGGACGCAAGUCUGAUGGAGCAACGCCGCGUGAGUGAAGAAGGUUUUCGGAUCGUAAAGCUCUGUUGUUGGUGAAGAAGGAUAGGGGCAGUAACUGGUCUUUAUUUGACGGUAAUCAACCAGAAAGUCACGGCUAACUACGUGCCAGCAGCCGCGGUAAUACGUAGGUGGCAAGCGUUGUCCGGAUUUAUUGGGCGUAAAGCGAGCGCAGGCGGAAUGAUAAGUCUGAUGUGAAAGCCCACGGCUCAACCGUGGAACUGCAUCGGAAACUGUCAUUCUUGAGUGCAGAAGAGGAGAGUGGAACUCCAUGUGUAGCGGUGGAAUGCGUAGAUAUAUGGAAGAACACCAGUGGCGAAGGCGGCUCUCUGGUCUGCACUGACGCUGAGGCUCGAAAGCAUGGGUAGCGAACAGGAUUAGAUACCCUGGUAGUCCAUGCCCGUAAACGAUGAGCGCUAGUGUUGGGGACUUUCCGGUCCUCAAUUGCCGCAGCAAACGCAUAAGCGGCUCCGACUGGGGAGAACGACCGCAAGGUUGAACUCAAAGGAAUUGACCGGAGCCCGCACAGACCGCGGAGCAUGGUGUUAAUUCGAGGCAUCACGCAAAACCUAACAGGCCUUGACUCCUGUGUCAGAGCUAAAGAUAGCUGGUUCCAUCCGGGAAGCACAAAGAACCGGGGUAUCAGGAUGUCUCCACU
Molecule: ribosomal RNA, 1080 nt
Filed under: Lactobacillus sp. AB5281
Lineage: Bacteria; Bacillati; Bacillota; Bacilli; Lactobacillales; Lactobacillaceae
Description: bacterial SSU rRNA
Rfam family: Bacterial small subunit ribosomal RNA
Source: RNAcentral